GACGAACGCUGGCGGCGUGCCUAAUACAUGCAAGUAGAACGCUGAAGGAGGAGCUUGCUUCUCUGGAUGAGUUGCGAACGGGUGAGUAACGCGUAGGUAACCUGCCUGGUAGCGGGGGAUAACUAUUGGAAACGAUAGCUAAUACCGCAUGAUAUUGAUUAUUGCAUGAUAGUCAAUUAAAAGGUGCAAUUGCAUCACUACCAGAUGGACCUGCGUUGUAUUAGCUAGUUGGUGAGGUAACGGCUCACCAAGGCAACGAUACAUAGCCGACCUGAGAGGGUGAUCGGCCACACUGGGACUGAGACACGGCCCAGACUCCUACGGGAGGCAGCAGUAGGGAAUCUUCGGCAAUGGACGGAAGUCUGACCGAGCAACGCCGCGUGAGUGAAGAAGGUUUUCGGAUCGUAAAGCUCUGUUGUAAGAGAAGAACGAGUGUGAGAGNGGAAAGUUCACACUGNGACGGU
Molecule: ribosomal RNA, 464 nt
Filed under: uncultured bacterium
Lineage: Bacteria
Description: bacterial SSU rRNA
Rfam family: Bacterial small subunit ribosomal RNA
Source: RNAcentral